Molecule: ribosomal RNA, 253 nt
Filed under: uncultured bacterium
Lineage: Bacteria
Description: partial 16S ribosomal RNA
Rfam family: Bacterial small subunit ribosomal RNA
Source: RNAcentral
UACGAAGGGGGCUAGCGUUGCUCGGAAUGACUGGGCGUAAAGGGCGCGUAGGCGGUUUGGACAGUCAGAUGUGAAAUUCCUGGGCUCAACCUGGGGGCUGCAUUUGAUACGUUCGGACUAGAGUGGGGAAGAGGGUCGUGGAAUUCCCAGUGUAGAGGUGAAAUGCGUAGAUAUCGGGAGGAACACCUGAGGCGAAGGCGGGCUACUGGGCCGAUACUGACGCUGAUGCGCGAAAGCGUGGGGAGCAAACAGG